CUCGUAGGCGGCCAACUAAGUCAGACGUGAAAUCCCUCGGCUUAACCGGGGAACUGCAUCUGAUACUGGAUGGCUCGAGAUUGGGAGAGGGAUGCGGAAUUCCAGGUGUAGCGGUGAAAUGCGUAGAUAUCUGGAGGAACACCGGUGGCGAAGGCGGCAUCCUGGACCAACACUGACGCUGAUGAGCGAAAGCCAGGGGAGCAAACG
RNAcentral lists this ribosomal RNA (207 nucleotides) under uncultured bacterium. RNAcentral's name for it is "partial 16S ribosomal RNA". It matches the Rfam family "Bacterial small subunit ribosomal RNA", at positions 568 to 774 of the family's 1533-position model. The record is from RNAcentral.